CGGAACGGGUGAGUAAUGCGUGACCAACCUGCCCCAUGCUCCAGAAUAGCUCUUGGAAACGGGUGGUAAUGCUGGAUGCUCCAACUUGACGCAUGUCUUGUUGGGAAAGUGUUUAGUGGCAUGGAAUGGGGUCGCGUCCUAUCAGCUUGUAGGCGGGGUAAUGGCCCACCUAGGCUUCGACGGGUAGCCGGCCUGAGAGGGCGGACGGCCACAUUGGGACUGAGAUACGGCCCAGACUCCUACGGGAGGCAGCAGGC
Molecule: ribosomal RNA, 257 nt
Filed under: uncultured Gardnerella sp.
Lineage: Bacteria; Bacillati; Actinomycetota; Actinomycetes; Bifidobacteriales; Bifidobacteriaceae
Description: partial 16S ribosomal RNA
Rfam family: Bacterial small subunit ribosomal RNA
Source: RNAcentral